AACGAACGCUGGCGGCAUGCCUAACACAUGCAAGUCGAACGAGACCUUCGGGUCUAGUGGCGCACGGGUGCGUAACGCGUGGGAACCUGCCCUUAGGUUCGGAAUAACUCCCCGAAAGGGGUGCUACUACCGGAUAAUGUCUUCGGACCAAAGAUUUAUCGCCUUUGGAUGGGCCCGCGUUGGAUUAGCUAGUUGGUAGGGUAAAAGCCUACCAAGGCGACGAUCCAUAGCUGGUCUGAGAGGAUGAUCAGCCACACUGGGACUGAGACACGGCCCAGACUCCUACGGGAGGCAGCAGUGGGGAAUAUUGGACAAUGGGCGAAAGCCUGAUCCAGCAAGGCCGCGUGAGUGAUGAAGGCCUUAGGGUUGUAAAGCUCUUUUACCCGGGAUGAUAAUGACAGUACCGGGAGAAUAAGCUCCGGCUAACUCCGU
This 432-nucleotide ribosomal RNA is filed under the name uncultured bacterium. RNAcentral describes it as "partial 16S ribosomal RNA". It matches the Rfam family "Bacterial small subunit ribosomal RNA", at positions 29 to 506 of the family's 1533-position model. The record is from RNAcentral.